UACGAACGCUGGCGGCGUGGAUAAGACAUGCAAGUCGGACGCUGAUUGCCGGGUAGCAAUAUUCGGCGGUCGGAGUGGCGGAAGGGUGCGUAACACGUGGGCAAUCUGCCGUGAAGUCGGGGAUAACUUGCUGAAAGGCGAGCUAAUACCGGAUGUGGUUUUGGGAGGGCAUCUUUCUGGAACCAAAGUUGGGGACCGCAAGGCCUGACGCUUCAUGAUGAGCCCGCGGCCUAUCAGCUAGUUGGUGAGGUAAUGGCUCACCAAGGCAAAGACGGGUAGCUGGUCUGAGAGGACGACCAGCCACACUGGAACUGAGACGCGGUCCAGACACCUACGGGUGGCAGCAGUCGAGAAUUUUUCACAAUGGGCGAAAGCCUGAUGGAGCGACGCCGCGUGGGGGAUGAAUGGCUUCGGCCCGUAAACCCCUGUCAUUUGCGAACAAACCUUUCCACCCAACACGUGGAGAGCUGAUUGUAGCGAAAGAGGAAGGGACGGCUAACU
Molecule: ribosomal RNA, 501 nt
Filed under: uncultured bacterium
Lineage: Bacteria
Description: bacterial SSU rRNA
Rfam family: Bacterial small subunit ribosomal RNA
Source: RNAcentral